Molecule: ribosomal RNA, 468 nt
Filed under: uncultured bacterium
Lineage: Bacteria
Description: partial 16S ribosomal RNA
Rfam family: Bacterial small subunit ribosomal RNA
Source: RNAcentral
GACGAACGCUGGCGGCGUGCUUAACACAUGCCAGUCGAACGGAAAGGCCCUGCUUUUGUGGGGUGCUCGAGUGGCGAACGGGUGAGUAACACGUGAGUAACCUGCCCUUGUCUUUGGGAUAACUUCAGGAAACUGCGGCUAAUAUCGGAUAGGAGCUCCUGCUGCAUGGUGGGGGUUGGUAAGUUUCGGCGGUUGGGGAUGGACUCGCGGCUUAUCAGCUUGUUUGUGGGGUAGUGGCUUACCAAGGCUUUGACGGGUAGCCGGCAUGAGAGGGUGAACGGCCACAUUGGGACUGAGAUACGGACCAGAAUCCUACGGGAGGCAGCAGCGGGGAAUCUUGCACAAUGGGCGGAAGCCUGAUGCAGCAACGCCGCGUGCGGGAUGACGGCCUUCGGGUUGUAAACCGAUUUCGAAUGUGACGAAGCGUGAGUGACGGUAAUGGGUAAAGAAGCAACGGCUAACUACGUG